RNAcentral lists this ribosomal RNA (484 nucleotides) under uncultured bacterium. RNAcentral's name for it is "partial 16S ribosomal RNA". It matches the Rfam family "Bacterial small subunit ribosomal RNA", at positions 30 to 507 of the family's 1533-position model. The record is from RNAcentral.
AUUGAACGCUGGCGGCAGGCCUAACACAUGCAAGUCGAGCGGAUGAAUGGAGCUUGCUCCUGGAUUCAUCGGCGGACGGGUGAGUAAUGCCUAGGAAGCUGCCUGGUAGUGGGGGAUAACAUUCGGAAACGGGCGCUAAUACCGCAUACGUCCUGAGGGAGAAAGUGGGGGAUCUUCGGACCUCAGGCUAUCAGAUGAGCCUAGGUCGGAUUAGCUAGUUGGUGGGGUAAAGGCCUAGCAAGGCGACGAUCCGUAACUGGUCUGAGAGGAUGAUCAGUCACCCGGGAACUGAGACACGGUCCAGACUCCUACGGGAGGCAGCAGUGGGGAAUAUUGGACAAUGGGCGAAAGCCUGAUCCAGGCAAGCCGCGUGUGUGAAGAAGGUCUUCGGAUUGUAAAGCACUUUAAGUUGGGAGGAAGGGCAGUAAGUCAAUACCUUGCUGUUUUGACGUUACCAAAAGAAUAAGCACCGGCUAACUUCGUG